This 2923-nucleotide ribosomal RNA is filed under the name Klebsiella pneumoniae. Its description in RNAcentral is "23S ribosomal RNA". It matches the Rfam family "Bacterial large subunit ribosomal RNA". The record is from RNAcentral. Lineage: Bacteria; Pseudomonadati; Pseudomonadota; Gammaproteobacteria; Enterobacterales; Enterobacteriaceae.
GGGUUGUGAGGUUAAGCGACUAAGCGUACACGGUGGAUGCCCCGGCAGUCAGAGGCGAUGAAGGACGUGCUAAUCUGCGAAAAGCGUCGGUAAGGUGAUAUGAACCGUUAUAACCGGCGAUGUCCGAAUGGGGAAACCCAGUGUGAUUCGUCACACUAUCGUUAACUGAAUACAUAGGUUAACGAGGCGAACCGGGGGAACUGAAACAUCUAAGUACCCCGAGGAAAAGAAAUCAACCGAGAUUCCCCCAGUAGCGGCGAGCGAACGGGGAGCAGCCCAGAGUCUGAAUCAGCUUGUGUGUUAGUGGAACGGUCUGGAAAGUCCGACGGUACAGGGUGAUAGUCCCGUACACCAAAAUGCACAGGCUGUGAACUCGAAGAGUAGGGCGGGACACGUGGUAUCCUGUCUGAAUAUGGGGGGACCAUCCUCCAAGGCUAAAUACUCCUGACUGACCGAUAGUGAACCAGUACCGUGAGGGAAAGGCGAAAAGAACCCCGGCGAGGGGAGUGAAAAAGAACCUGAAACCGUGUACGUACAAGCAGUGGGAGCACCUUCGGGUGUGACUGCGUACCUUUUGUAUAAUGGGUCAGCGACUUAUAUUCUGUAGCAAGGUUAACCGUAUAGGGGAGCCGCAGGGAAACCGAGUCUUAACUGGGCGUUAAGUUGCAGGGUAUAGACCCGAAACCCGGUGAUCUAGCCAUGGGCAGGUUGAAGGUUGGGUAACACUAACUGGAGGACCGAACCGACUAAUGUUGAAAAAUUAGCGGAUGACUUGUGGCUGGGGGUGAAAGGCCAAUCAAACCGGGAGAUAGCUGGUUCUCCCCGAAAGCUAUUUAGGUAGCGCCUCGUGAACUCAUCUUCGGGGGUAGAGCACUGUUUCGGCUAGGGGGUCAUCCCGACUUACCAACCCGAUGCAAACUACGAAUACCGAAGAAUGUUAUCACGGGAGACACACGGCGGGUGCUAACGUCCGUCGUGAAGAGGGAAACAACCCAGACCGCCAGCUAAGGUCCCAAAGUCAUGGUUAAGUGGGAAACGAUGUGGGAAGGCACAGACAGCCGGAUGUUGGCUUAGAAGCAGCCAUCAUUUAAAGAAAGCGUAAUAGCUCACUGGUCGAGUCGGCCUGCGCGGAAGAUGUAACGGGGCUAAACCAUGCACCGAAGCUGCGGCAGCGACACUAUGUGUUGUUGGGUAGGGGAGCGUUCUGUAAGCCUGCGAAGGUGUGCUGUGAGGCAUGCUGGAGGUAUCAGAAGUGCGAAUGCUGACAUAAGUAACGAUAAAGCGGGUGAAAAGCCCGCUCGCCGGAAGACCAAGGGUUCCUGUCCAACGUUAAUCGGGGCAGGGUGAGUCGACCCCUAAGGCGAGGCCGAAAGGCGUAGUCGAUGGGAAACAGGUUAAUAUUCCUGUACUUGGUGUUACUGCGAAGGGGGGACGGAGAAGGCUAUGUUAGCCGGGCGACGGUUGUCCCGGUUUAAGCAUGUAGGCUGGUUGUCCAGGCAAAUCCGGAUAAUCAAGGCUGAGGUGUGAUGACGAGGCACUACGGUGCUGAAGUAACAAAUGCCCUGCUUCCGGGAAAAGCCUCUAAGCAUCAGGUAACAUCAAAUCGUACCCCAAACCGACACAGGUGGUCAGGUAGAGAAUACCAAGGCGCUUGAGAGAACUCGGGUGAAGGAACUAGGCAAAAUGGUGCCGUAACUUCGGGAGAAGGCACGCUGGUGUGUAGGUGAAGUCCCUGCGGAUGGAGCUGAGACCAGUCGAAGAUACCAGCUGGCUGCAACUGUUUAUUAAAAACACAGCACUGUGCAAACACGAAAGUGGACGUAUACGGUGUGACGCCUGCCCGGUGCCGGAAGGUUAAUUGAUGGGGUUAUCCGUAAGGAGAAGCUCUUGAUCGAAGCCCCGGUAAACGGCGGCCGUAACUAUAACGGUCCUAAGGUAGCGAAAUUCCUUGUCGGGUAAGUUCCGACCUGCACGAAUGGCGUAAUGAUGGCCGGCUGUCUCCACCCGAGACUCAGUGAAAUUGAACUCGCUGUGAAGAUGCAGUGUACCCGCGGCAAGACGGAAAGACCCCGUGAACCUUUACUAUAGCUUGACACUGAACAUUGAGCCUUGAUGUGUAGGAUAGGUGGGAGGCUUUGAAGCGUGGACGCCAGUCUGCGUGGAGCCAACCUUGAAAUACCACCCUUUAAUGUUUGAUGUUCUAACGUUGGCCCCUGACCGGGGUUGCGGACAGUGUCUGGUGGGUAGUUUGACUGGGGCGGUCUCCUCCCAAAGCGUAACGGAGGAGCACGAAGGUUAGCUAAUCCUCGGUCGGACAUCAGGAGGUUAGUGCAAUGGCAUAAGCUAGCUUGACUGCGAGCGUGACGGCGCGAGCAGGUGCGAAAGCAGGUCAUAGUGAUCCGGUGGUUCUGAAUGGAAGGGCCAUCGCUCAACGGAUAAAAGGUACUCCGGGGAUAACAGGCUGAUACCGCCCAAGAGUUCAUAUCGACGGCGGUGUUUGGCACCUCGAUGUCGGCUCAUCACAUCCUCGGGGCUGAAGUAGGUCCCAAGGGUAUGGCUGUUCGCCAUUUAAAGUGGUACGCGAGCUGGGUUUAGAACGUCGUGAGACAGUUCGGUCCCUAUCUGCCGUGGGCGCUGGAGAAUUGAGGGGGGCUGCUCCUAGUACGAGAGGACCGGAGUGGACGCAUCACUGGUGUUCGGGUUGUCAUGCCAAUGGCACUGCCCGGUAGCUAAAUGCGGAAGAGAUAAGUGCUGAAAGCAUCUAAGCACGAAACUUGCCCCGAGAUGAGUUCUCCCUGAGACUUUAAGUCUCCUGAAGGAACGUUAAAGACGAUGACGUUGAUAGGCCGGGUGUGUAAGCGCAGCGAUGCGUUGAGCUAACCGGUACUAAUGAACCGUGAGGCUUAACCUUACAACGCCGAAG